GCUAUGGUUUUAUAUGUGAACAUUGACUUAGUAUGUUAUAUUGUAAUGGUAAAUUUCCUUAUCUAUGGUAACCCUUAGGAAUACUUAGGUGUAUAUGAAGAGAUUGUAUGGGCGGUCACUUCAUGUUUCACUUAAGUGUGGCUUUGGGUAACUUGAGAUAGAGGUCAAGAAAUGAUGAAAAGGCUUACUUGUCAAUUAUGUUCAUGUGUUGUACAUUGGUACUAGUUGUGCAUGAUGGCUUGUGAUAUGAAGCAUGAUAAGUGGUAAGUUCACAUUUGGUGGCCUUAGGAUGAUGCUUUAGUGUGGAUGGUGGUAUGGGACGCUAUCCAUACAUUGCACAAAGUGUUGUCCAAGGGUUACUUGAGGUGGAUGGUUUAAGGUGAAGGAAUGGGUUAUGUGUGGAGUAUGUGCUAAAGUGGUUAAUGACUUGUAUGUUGGUUAUGGUUGGAUAUUGUGACUCUUAUACUUGUAUUUUUUUUCAUGAAGUUUUACCAAAUGGCAUAAAAGCAUGUUUCUCCAAUAAACGUCCCUUUUAGCAUGUUUUUGCAUGGCUUCCAUACUUAGUACUUAAUUGUGCUAACCCCUUCCUUUCCCUUUUUGACUAAAGUGUAGGGAUUUGGAGAUGGUGACAUGUCAUGGCUAUUUGGUAGGUUUCUAAGUGUUGAAGAUGAAGACUUGGUGAGUCCUCAUAGAUUCGAGGACAAAACCCAAUAUGUUCUUUUAUGUCCUUUUUAGUAUUGUUUGAGUUGUGUACGGGAUUAGUCCCGAAUUUUGUACUCUAAAGUAUUAGAUGGUUUUGAGACAUCAUGUAUAAAGUCUAGAAAGUCUUCCGCUUGCU
RNAcentral lists this long non-coding RNA (838 nucleotides) under Solanum tuberosum (potato). Its description in RNAcentral is "long non-coding RNA (STUB_LNC001970)". The record is from RNAcentral. Lineage: Eukaryota; Viridiplantae; Streptophyta; Magnoliopsida; Solanales; Solanaceae.